RNAcentral lists this ribosomal RNA (494 nucleotides) under uncultured bacterium. RNAcentral describes it as "partial 16S ribosomal RNA". It matches the Rfam family "Bacterial small subunit ribosomal RNA", at positions 28 to 507 of the family's 1533-position model. The record is from RNAcentral.
GACGAACGCUGGCGGCGCGCUUAACACAUGCAAGUCGAACGGAAAGGCCUGCUUUCCCUUGUGGAUUGCGGGUACUCGAGUGGCGAACGGGUGAGUAACACGUGAGUGAUCUGCCCCCAACUUGGGUAUAAGCCUGGGAAACUGGGUCUAAUUCCCGAUAGGACUGCAGGGUGGUGCCUGUGGUGGAAAACGAUUUUCUAGUGGUUGGGGAUGAGCUCGCGGCCUAUCAGCUUGUUGGUGGGGUAAUGGCCUACCAAGGCGGCGACGGGUAGCCGGCCUGAGAGGGUGGACGGCCACAUUGGGACUGAGAUACGGCCCAGACUCCUGCGGGAGGCAGCAGUGGGGAAUAUUGCACAAUGGGCGGAAGCCUGAUGCAGCGACGCCGCGUGGGGGAUGACGGCCUUCGGGUUGUAAACUCCUUUCGACCGCGAGGAAGCCACCUGGUUGGAAGGGUGGUGACGGUAGUGGUAGAAGAAGCACCGGCUAACUACGUG